RNAcentral lists this ribosomal RNA (502 nucleotides) under uncultured bacterium. RNAcentral's name for it is "partial 16S ribosomal RNA". It matches the Rfam family "Bacterial small subunit ribosomal RNA", at positions 29 to 523 of the family's 1533-position model. The record is from RNAcentral.
AUUGAACGCUGGCGGCAUGCCUAACACAUGCAAGUCGAACGGCAGCACAGCCCGCAAGGGUGGGUGGCGAGUGGCGGACGGGUGAGGAAUACAUGGGAAUCUACCCUGUCGUGGGGGAUAACGUAGGGAAACUUACGCUAAUACCGCAUACGACCUCCGGGUGAAAGCGGCGGACCGCAAGGCGUCGCGCGACUGGAUGAGCCCAUGUCGGAUUAGCUAGUUGGCGGGGUAAAGGCCCACCAAGGCGACGAUCCGUAGCUGGUCUGAGAGGAUGAUCAGCCACACUGGAACUGAGACACGGUCCAGACUCCUACGGGAGGCAGCAGUGGGGAAUAUUGGACAGUGGGCGCAAGCCUGAUCCAGCAAUGCCGCGUGGGUGAAGAAGGCCUUCGGGUUGUAAAGCCCUUUUGUACGGGAAGAAAUCCUGUCGGUUAGUACCCGGCGGGGAUGACGGUACCGUAAGAAUAAGCACCGGCUAACUUCGUGCCAGCAGCCGCCGUAA